UCAAAACUCAAAACCAAACUCAACUUAACCUUAAACCCUUCCAUGUUCCUUUCUCUUUAUGGCAUUCUUCAACACUCUUCACUCUCUUCUCUUCCUCUCUCUCCUCCUUCUCCUCUCUCCCCAUCUUUCUCUCUCCUCUUCCUCCUCCAUUCAUGACCUUCUCCGCUCAAAAGGCUUACCAGCUGGUCUCUUACCAGAAGAAGUAAAAUCCUACACUUUCUCAGAAAACGGUCACUUAGAAGUGUUUCUUGAAUCACCUUGUUUA
RNAcentral lists this long non-coding RNA (265 nucleotides) under Lathyrus oleraceus (garden pea). RNAcentral describes it as "Pisum sativum (pea) long non-coding RNA (PSAT_LNC030453)". The record is from RNAcentral. Lineage: Eukaryota; Viridiplantae; Streptophyta; Magnoliopsida; Fabales; Fabaceae.